UACGGAGGGUGCAAGCGUUAUCCGGAUUCACUGGGUUUAAAGGGUGCGUAGGCGGGCAGAUAAGUCAGUGGUGAAAUCUCCGAGCUUAACUCGGAAACUGCCGUUGAUACUAUUUGUCUUGAAUAUUGUUGAGGUAGGCGGAAUAUAUCAUGUAGCGGUGAAAUGCAUAGAUAUGAUAUAGAACACCGAUUGCGAAGGCAGCUUACUAAACAAUUAUUGACGCUGAGGCACGAAAGCGUGGGGCUCAAACAGG
This 253-nucleotide ribosomal RNA is filed under the name uncultured bacterium. RNAcentral describes it as "partial 16S ribosomal RNA". It matches the Rfam family "Bacterial small subunit ribosomal RNA", at positions 524 to 776 of the family's 1533-position model. The record is from RNAcentral.